Oryctolagus cuniculus (rabbit) is the source of this 885-nucleotide non-coding RNA. The record is from RefSeq and is a predicted model, not a curated record. Lineage: Eukaryota; Metazoa; Chordata; Mammalia; Lagomorpha; Leporidae.
GGGGUCCUGAUCAAGAUGCCAGUCAGCUGGGGUCUCAGGAGGCUCUUUCUGGGCUGCAUAUGACUGCUUUCCUGCUGUGUCCUCUCAGGCACUGGAACCAAACUAUCUGGCUUUGAUUCUCAGCUCCACUACUUCCUUGCUGUGUGACCUUGGGCAAGUUCAUUAACUCCUCUGGAUGACGCUUACUUGAGUUAGACAACAAGAACACCACCUGCACCUACUCCAAGUGAGUCAUUACCCAUGAGCGCUCAGGGUGGCUUCCAGCCCACAGUGCCUGGCAUUUAGAACCAAGCCUGACUCCUGGCUGCUGUUUACCAGUCCCUGGCUGAAUGGCCACCGCUCUGCUAAGCUCUGUCACACAGUGCAUUUCAGGACAGCACCCGAUGAGCCGGAGAGGAAGAGUCUAUGACUGCGUCCAGUAUGACAAAGGCACUGAAGUGGAGAGAGGCUGAUGGCAUCAGGCCACACAGGAGGCAGUGGGCGGAGUGGCCGGGAGCCUGGGCCCCAGAAAACUGCUGAACGCACAAUCCAGUUGCAGAAAACGGGUGGGGAAUUGAAGAUGGAACCGAUCUCAGAAAACACCCGGACUUCCCUUACUGAUGGCUUCUCUCGUGGUGUGACUAUACCAACAAAGACACAAGGGUUCCGCAGGGUUUGUUCCAGGACUAACAGGGUUUCUCUAGUGUACACCAAGACGUGUAGAUGUCCUUCUCCAUGAACACGGACACGGCUAUUCACAUGAAUUUGGCAAAGAAACGUCACUGCUGAAAACUGACACGAUUCCGCUUGUUUCUGAGCCCCAAAUCCUGUUUGUCAGUAGGCUACUUUCUCCUGCACUGUUGAAGGAGGAGGGUGGGAAGUCUAUGUUGGGAAAUGGAAAUACUA